Molecule: small nucleolar RNA, 136 nt
Organism: Alosa alosa (allis shad)
Lineage: Eukaryota; Metazoa; Chordata; Actinopteri; Clupeiformes; Clupeidae
Source: RefSeq, a predicted model, not a curated record
GCCGAGGUCUAUCCCGAUGGACCCCUCUCUGUAGGGUCUUAUCGUUGGAAACGCCUCGAACAUAAACAUCUGUGGUAACCCAUAGUCCCAUAGUUGUUACAAUCAACCUUGUGGGCAAAAAAACUGCAGGACAACC